GUCUCAAGGCAUGCUGGGAAAUGUAGUUUUGGGGGCUAUAGGACCGAGGCAUGCUGGGAAUUGUAGUUCGGUGGGUUAUGGCACCGAGGCAUGCUGGGAGAUGUAGUUUUUGGGGUUAUCGCCCAGAGGCACGCAGGGAAACGCGUUUUGGGGCUGGGGGCGCGGUGCCGCGGUCCCUCACCCACGGAUGAAGGCGGGCACCGUGUCCCCGGGCUGCAGCCGCGCCAGCCACGUGGAGCAGACGCCGUGGUGCAGCGGGCCCUGGCCGUCUGCGGGCGAGAGGCACGGCCCUGGCACGCGGACCCCGGCCCGGGCAGCCCCACGGUGGGGCUGGGGGCUGGGACCCGCAGUGCCGUGGGACACGGGGGCUGCACGGGGCCGUGGGGACGGCUGCUGGGACCCCUGGGCUGCGUGGGGGGGCUGGGCAGGGUGGGACCCCGGGGUACCUGGCGGUGCCCUGGGGGCGUGGAAAUUCCUUGGGGGACCCCAAGGUGCCCUGGGGGCGCUGAUGGUGCCCUGGGGACCUGGAGGUACCCCAGGGAUUUUGGGGGUACCCCAGAGACUGGUGGUGCCCUGAGGGGGUGGAAAUUCCUUGGGGGACCCCAAGGUGCCCCAGGGGAGCUGAUGGUGACCUGGAGGUACCCAAGGGAUUUGGAGGUUCCCUGGGGACUGGCGGUGCCACGCAGCAGCCGCAGGGCUGGGGGGCACCAUCACUGAACCCCUGUCCCCCCCCACCCCGUCCCUGUCCCCGUCCCCGCUCACUCUCGCUGUGGUAGGUGACGACGGCCACGGUGAGGUGGAUCUGCCCGGGGUAGGGGCCGGGCGCAGAGCUGAUGGAGUAGUAGCGCGGCUGCAGCAGCGGCAGCUGGGUGAGCAGCAGGGGGGCCGGCAGCCCCACCGAGGGGAACUCCUGCAGCACCUCCAGCAGCGUGGGGCAGCGGAACCACUUCCAGUCCUCGUACAGCCGGGCGUCCUGCAGCACCCACCGCUGGGACACGCGCAGGGACCCCGCCAGCAGGGUGCCCGUGUCCCUGCAGCCCGGCACCACAGCAGCCCAGUAUCUGGUAUCCCAGUGUC
This 1077-nucleotide long non-coding RNA is filed under the name Anas platyrhynchos platyrhynchos (common mallard). RNAcentral's name for it is "lncRNA (ENSAPLG00000026551.1)". The record is from RNAcentral. Lineage: Eukaryota; Metazoa; Chordata; Aves; Anseriformes; Anatidae.